UUCCGGUAUUGUUAAGUCGCGUGAGGGUGAAAAAUAUUUGGUUACACAGAUACAAACAAUGCAAAAUAGUGAAAACUUUUUUGUUCAUCGUUCCGUAUCUUUUGUACCCUGAACCUUUCUCCCUCUCACCAUGUUCAUCGACCCCAUGAAAGAUUUGGAGGUUCAUCUCGAUUGCGAUUCCGCUAUUAUAACCGAGUUCAUGGACGAUACAAUUCCAUCCAUCAAAGAAGUAACCAACAACGUACCUUUCGAGGCUUAUGCAGAACUGCUCCAGGAAAAUGGUACAAAGAUACAAGCAUGGUUCUUCUUUAGUUCGAAGGAUGGUGUGAAUGUGGAAUUAACUGUACCGCUCCUCUAUUUAUUCAUGGAUUAAUAAUGUUCAUCCAGAAGGUCUUCGGAGGCUAAUAUGGGAGCAUUGGUCAUAUUCUCAAUGACGAUAAAUUAACUAUGAGAAUAGUGGAAAGUUACAAAUUGAAAAAUGAUGACAGUAAGGCAUCAUUUCUUAAGCUUUAAACGAUUUGAUUACAAAGGGGUAUAGAAUUGAUUACAGUGACUCGGUUUUGUCUAUAUUUAUUUGUGCUUCAUGUUUCCGUUUUGGUUCAGGUAAGUAAUUUAGUUUCAUUCUAAAGACUGUUAGGUUACAACUUUACUUAAUAGUUUUCUUUAGAAAUAUUCCAUUUUCAUAAUAGAACACUGACAAUAAUAUUGCUCCAGGUGGACGCACAAUUGGAUUUUCAAGUAAUUAAUAACUGGAGUUACGAAUUUUGGUUUUCAUUUCAUACUUAUUGAAACAGCCGGGUUAUGCUCUAACUUUAUUACAGUUUGUUCAAAUAGUGUAUAUAGUUUCUUUAAUCGAUUUUUAUUAUGGAUCCAUUUUUUUCCAUUCACUCUUCGUUAAAAAUUUGUAAUCAACCAGUUCUUUUGUUUCAGGAAGAUGUCUGUUAUGAAAAAAUAUUUUUUGAUGGAUUUAAAGACAUCUCUACAUUAUAGGAAAAUUAUGGCAUUUGGAGGUCACUUGCUCAAGAGUAUAAGGUGGGGGAGCAAAUUUCAGACAGAAUGUGGGUGAAAAAAGAUGAUUCAGUACACAAAAAAAUCAAAUUAAGAAAACAGAAUAACGACAAUGCACCGUCUCCAAAAUAGCUGUAAGGCACUUCCAUUUGAAAUGGUAUCUGUUGUCUUAACUCAAAUGGAAGAACACAUGUUUUCAACCAUGUAGUUGUGGGUUCGACUCCCACAGAUGGCAUUGUUACUUAUUUGAUGCUCACAGAGUGGGAAACCAACAAAGGAUAUAGAGUCGACCCCAGGGUCUUCGAGAAGCUUUCAAGAAAUCUGCUUGCUUCAGUGAUAUUCCUUCAACUGUGCGCCAAAGUCUGUAUCGCUAUUUGCCGAAGGUAUCUCUCUCAUAUAACAGAGAUCAGUAUUUAGAUUUCUUUUUAGGUUUUUUUUUUAAACUGAUGUAACAAAUUGGGGUUUUGACUGUUAGUUGAUAUUGAUUAAAAGUGAAAGUAUAUGUGUACAAUUCGUUUGUUUUUA
This is a long non-coding RNA of Papaver somniferum (opium poppy), 1533 nucleotides long. RefSeq lists it as uncharacterized. The transcript has 5 exons. Lineage: Eukaryota; Viridiplantae; Streptophyta; Magnoliopsida; Ranunculales; Papaveraceae. The record is from RefSeq and is a predicted model, not a curated record.